AACGAACGCUGGCGGCAUGCCUAACACAUGCAAGUCGAACGAGACCUUCGGGUCUAGUGGCGCACGGGUGCGUAACGCGUGGGAACCUGCCCUUAGGUUCGGAAUAACUCCCCGAAAGGGGUGCUAAUACCGGAUAAUGUCUUCGGACCAAAGAUUUAUCGCCUUUGGAUGGGCCCGCGUUGGAUUAGCUAGUUGGUAGGGUAAAAGCCUACCAAGGCGACGAUCCAUAGCUGGUCUGAGAGGAUGAUCAGCCACACUGGGACUGAGACACGGCCCAGACUCCUACGGGAGGCAGCAGUGGGGAAUAUUGGACAAUGGGCGAAAGCCUGAGCCAGCAAUGCCGCGUGAGUGAUGAAGGCCUUAGGGUUGUAAAGCUCUUUUACCCGGGAUGAUAAUGACAGUACCGGAAGAAUAAGCUCCGGCUAACUCCGUG
Molecule: ribosomal RNA, 433 nt
Filed under: uncultured bacterium
Lineage: Bacteria
Description: partial 16S ribosomal RNA
Rfam family: Bacterial small subunit ribosomal RNA
Source: RNAcentral